AACGAACGCUGGCGGCAUGCCUAACACAUGCAAGUCGAACGAGACCUCCGGGCUUUGUGGCGCACGGGUGGGUACCGCGUGGUAACCUGCACUUGGGUAAGGAAUACCUCCCCGUGGGGGAUCUUCAUGCAGGUUAAUGUCUUCGGGCCUAAGAUCUCUCGCGUUUGGGUGGGCGCUCGUUGGAUUAGCUGGUUGGUAGGGUAAAAGCAUACCAAGGACAGGAUCCAGGGCUGGUCGGAGAGGAGGAUCAGCCACAAUGGGAAUGAGACACGGCCCAGACUCCGACGGGGGGCAGCAGUGUAGAAUAUUGUACAAGGGGCGAAAGCCUGAUCCAGCAGUGCCGCGUGAGUGAUGAAGGCCUUAGGGUUGUAAAGCUCUUUUACCCGGGAUGAUAAUGACAGUACCGGGAGAAGAAGCACCGGCUAACUCCGUG
Molecule: ribosomal RNA, 433 nt
Filed under: uncultured bacterium
Lineage: Bacteria
Description: partial 16S ribosomal RNA
Rfam family: Bacterial small subunit ribosomal RNA
Source: RNAcentral